CUCCUCUACACCAGCACCACCUAUUCUUCCACCUACUCCUGACAUACUCUCUGAUUCAGCUCGCCAGACCUCUGCUGGACCUCUGCUAAACCUGAGGCAUACUGAAUAUCCCUGUUUUACCACUGCACCACCUGCCCCCAUUACGACACUUGGCAUGCCUUCCAGUCCUCUUCACUUCUCCAUUAGACAUUCUGAACACGGCCGUUACACAGCUCCAGUGCAUGCAGUUACCACCCCCAUCUCUCACAUGCCCUCAAGCUCUAUGAGCCAGGUCUCUGCUACACCUCUUUCUGAAGAACAUCAAGACCAUUCAUUUAAGCCCCGGUUUAGACUGGGGAGGACAGGCACUGGACCUAUUCCUUGCUCUGCCGCUCAACUGCACAUCCUAACACUGUUGGAACAUAUCAAGGAACAGCAGAUGCAGCUUGCUGCUACCGUUAAUAAUCCUGCUGCACGUAUGGCGACAGACACUGCUGUGGCUGAAAUGCAUCCCAAUAUCAGUUUGCCACUGGCCACCAUGUCUGAAGUUGAGGAGUUGGAGGACUGGCUUAAAGAUUCAAGGA
Brienomyrus brachyistius is the source of this 563-nucleotide long non-coding RNA. RefSeq lists it as uncharacterized. The record is from RefSeq and is a predicted model, not a curated record. The transcript has 4 exons. Lineage: Eukaryota; Metazoa; Chordata; Actinopteri; Osteoglossiformes; Mormyridae.